CGAAGGAUGCAAGCGUUAUCCGGAUUCAUUGGGUUUAAAGGGUGCGUAGGCGGACUUGUAAGUCAGUGGUGAAAUCUCUCAGCUUAACUGAGAAACUGCCAUUGAUACUGCAGGUCUAGAGUAUAGAUGACGUUGGCGGAAUAUGACAUGUAGUGGUGAAAUACUUAGAUAUGUCAUAGAACACCGAUUGCGGAGGCAGCUAACGAAACUAUAACUGACGCUGAGGCACGAAAGUGCGGGGAUCAAACAGGAUUAGAUACCCUGGUAGUCCGCACCGUAAACGAUGAUUACUCGUUGUUGGCGAUAUGACAGUCAGCGACCAAGCGAAAGCGAUAAGUAAUCCACCUGGGGAGUACGCCGGCAACGGUG
Molecule: ribosomal RNA, 369 nt
Filed under: uncultured organism
Description: bacterial SSU rRNA
Rfam family: Bacterial small subunit ribosomal RNA
Source: RNAcentral